Non-coding RNA from Biomphalaria pfeifferi, 1067 nucleotides. NCBI's taxonomy places the organism in Eukaryota, Metazoa, Mollusca, Gastropoda, Planorbidae. The record is from the annotation of a GenBank genome assembly.
UUAUUUGAUAUAAAAUAUUUAUUAUAAAUGACUACAUCCAGAAAGUAAUAUGAUCAAAGCAUAAAUUGAUACAAACAAAAAGUCUUCAUUAAAACAAAAAUAAAACAACAAAAUUCUAGUACAAGUCUUAGAAUAGUUGGAAGUUGUAAUAGUUAGCACCAGGCCGUUGAGUCAAGACUUAAUCACAGCAAAGUUACCUCCAAUCAAGAACUAGUAUACUGAGUGUAGAACUCGAGUUCUACAUACAUUACAAUAUGCAGUCGUGCUUCUGAUAGUCCAAAUGUUUCUAUCAGUGACGUCGUUGCUCAUUAGUAAUGAGGCAUAACUUAAUUCUUCCUUAGAGAGGAUAACCAAAACUAAACGUAUUAAUACAUUUUAUAUAUUGUAGCUAAUAAUGUUCUGUAGACAUUCAGUGAUUGCACCAAACACAUGAAUAGUCAGAUUACUUCUAUGAAUUAACUUAAAUAUUAAGAAUUUUUUUUUUAAAGUAUUAAAUGGUUUGCACCCAACUUGAAAAUUUUUGCUCAGAAGUUUCAAUUCUUGCCUAGAUAACUCUAACAGGAAGAAACUAAGUCACAAUAAAGCACUGCAGUAAUGAUCAAACGUUUAGAGGGCACUCUUAUGUGACAGCAACGUAACAAGCCAAAAAACAGCAAAGGAAGCUCAUAGUAUUUGGCCUUUGAUGGACUUGGAUUUGUUUUGAAAUCCAUCAUUUUGUCAACACUUUUCAUAUUUCAUUAAAAAAAAUUAAAUUUGAAUUUUAAGUGAGAGAAAACAAACUAAAAAAAAAAGAAAAAGCCACAACAUUAGCUUAUUAAACCCAAGAUUUCAUGACCAGAAAUUUUGAACACAAUUGACACCAAAGCAAAAUCGAAAGCAUUCAGUCUGACAAGGAAUAUUUAGGUGUGUCUGUGUGUGUUGGAGGUCUGGCUAUGUGAACAUUAUAAAAUACCAUCAUCCGAUGAAAACUGGGUCUCCAGGAUAUGAACAGCUGACUUGCGUCAUAAGAACUUAGGCUGGUAUAGGCACUGAGUCAAAAGUGGUAGUUGGUUUGGGGGGGGGGAGGA